CGUCUAUCGAGAUUCUUGUCUUUCGGGAUUCUUUCUUUCACAUCAUCGUAGUUUUGUUGCUCCGGUGGCCACUGUCCGAGGUUCUUCUUGGGACUUAUGGUAUCUCCGAACUUAUACACAGAUAAAGACAGACGUGCAAGGUUGAAACGAAUGAAGAAAUGACAGAAACUGAUUCAUGCUGCUUGAAUACACAUGGAAAUAUAAUAUUUGAGUCUGAUCUGAGUGUAUGUACAAAUGGCAGCCAUGCAAAAGGGUGAGAUUCAAAUUCAUCAAGGCUUCUGUUAUGCAACACAAUAAAUGCUGCUGAGAUGUAUUAGAGUGAAGAGCCUCAAUCACAGAUAUUAUGUUAAGCUUCCAAUCCUGAGCUUAGUUAUUUUAAAUGAGAAUUACAAUCAUACAAUCUCAUUCGGACAUGGUUGAGGUUACAGUUUUUAUUUUUACUAUUAGCAGUAACUUGUAAUAACAUUUUACAGCUGUAAAUAAUUUGAAUUUCAUGGAAUAUUAUUUCUUGUUUUGCUUUUUAACUGGAUUAAUGCAAUUAUGCCUCGGUGGAUGGAA
Vigna umbellata (rice bean) is the source of this 558-nucleotide non-coding RNA. NCBI's taxonomy places the organism in Eukaryota, Viridiplantae, Streptophyta, Magnoliopsida, Fabales, Fabaceae. The record is from RefSeq and is a predicted model, not a curated record.